GAUAAAAUAAUGGAGCUCAAAACACUGCAAUUGGUACUGUUUCAGUGCAUGAAACUAUUGGUUUCUGCUGAAAUUAGGUGCAUAGAGAGUCCAUCUUAAAUAUAUAUAUAUAUUUUUUAUUCAUGGCAGUCCCUUGUUGCAAUGUUUGGUAAUUAAGAAUACUGUCUUUUCACCGUGUAUACGUAAUUUCCCCGUCUCUACCAAAAAGUAUUGACUAGAAUCAACUAUAUGAUAGCACCAAAGACUUUUAUGUGUCAUCUCAC
This 263-nucleotide long non-coding RNA is filed under the name Olea europaea (common olive). RNAcentral's name for it is "long non-coding RNA (OEUR_LNC003119)". Lineage: Eukaryota; Viridiplantae; Streptophyta; Magnoliopsida; Lamiales; Oleaceae. The record is from RNAcentral.